UGAAUACGAGAUGCUACGGCGUCGAAGCAGUCUAUGUCAUACUUCCAAGAAAAGCUUGCACUGUCAUAAACAAAUAAUGCCUGUACCAUAACCGACACAGGUGGGUAGGUAGAGUAUACUAAGGGGCGCGAGAUAACUCUCUCUAAGGAACUCGGCAAAAUGACUCCGUAACUUCGGGAGAAGGAGUGCCUUAUUUAUAAGGUUGCAAUAACAAGAUCCAAGCAACUGUUUACCAAAAACACAGGUCUCCGCUAAGUCGUAAGACGAUGUAUGGGGGCUGACGCCUGCCCAGUGCCAGAAGGUUAAAGAAGUUGGUUAGCAUCCGCGAAGCUGAUAACUGAAGCCCUGGUGAACGGCGGCCGUAACAAUAACGGUCCUAAGGUAGCGAAAUUCCUUGUCGGGUAAGUUCCGACCCGCACGAAAGGCGUAAUGAUUUGGAUACUGUCUCGGAGAGGGGCUCGGUGAAAUAGACUUGUCUGUGAAGAUGCGGACUACCUGCACCAGGACAGAAAGACCCUAUGAAGCUUUACUGUAACCUGAAAUUGGAAUUGGACUUUACUUGCGCAGUAUAGGUGGGAGGCGUUGAGAAUAUUCUUGCGGGAUUAUUGGAGCCAUCAGUGAGAUACCACUCUUGUAAUGUUAGAUUUCUAACUUUGUAUCAUUAUCUGGUCAAAGAACAGUUUCAGGCGGGCAGUUUGACUGGGGCGGUCGCCUCCUAAACGGUAACGGAGGCGCACAAAGGUUUCCUCUGAACGGGUAGAAAUCGUAUCUAGAGUGUAAAGGCAUAAGGAAGCUUGACUGUGAGACCUACAAGUCGAGCAGGGACGAAAGUCGGUCUUAGUGAUCUGACGGUGCUGAGUGGAAAGGCCGUCACUCAACGGAUAAAAGUUACUCUAGGAUAACAGGCUGAUCUCCCCCAAGAGUUCACAUCGACGGGGAGGUUUGGCACCUCGAUGUCGGCUCAUCGCAUCCUGGGGCGGUAGUACGUCCCAAGGGUUGGGCUGUUCGCCCAUGAAAGCGGUACGCGAGCUGGGUUCAGAACGUCGUGAGACAGUUCGGUCCAUAUCCGGUGUAGGCGUUAGAAUAUUGAGAGGAGCCUUCUUUAGUACGAGAGGACCGAGAAGGACAUACCUCUGGUGUACCAGUUAUCGUGCCAACGGUAAACGCUGGGUAGCUAUGUGUGGAGUGGAUAACCGCUGAAAGCAUCUAAGUGGGAAGCCCACCUCAAGAUAAGUAUUCUCAUG
This 1244-nucleotide ribosomal RNA is filed under the name metagenome. RNAcentral's name for it is "bacterial LSU rRNA". It matches the Rfam family "Bacterial large subunit ribosomal RNA", at positions 1564 to 2818 of the family's 2925-position model. The record is from RNAcentral.